ACCGUGAUCGACAUGUAGAGCUUGUAACACGAGGAGGAAACACUCACUGCAGAGGGACCAAUAAAGUUUCAUCUCCCGUCUCCUCUGCAGCCACUUCUACAGGCCGUUUCUGUAAGUGAGAAUACAUUCUUUCUCCAUCUGCCAACUUAAAUAACCCUUUAAACUGUGUAAUGCACUAAUGAAGACGGAUGGAUCCGUGUAUGCGAGAGCUCCUC
RNAcentral lists this long non-coding RNA (215 nucleotides) under Cottoperca gobio. RNAcentral's name for it is "lncRNA (ENSCGOG00000019447.1)". The record is from RNAcentral. Lineage: Eukaryota; Metazoa; Chordata; Actinopteri; Perciformes; Bovichtidae.